CCGACUGCUAUCAGAGUGAGAUUAAGCCAUGCGAGUCAACGUAGCAAUACGUGGCACACGGCUCAGUAACACGUAGUCAACAUAACCAAAGGACGUGGAUAAACUCGGGAAACUGAGGCUAAACCGCGAUAGAUCAAGAUACCUGGAAUGGUUUUUGAUCAAAAUCUAUAUGGCCUUUGGAUUGGACUGCGUCCGAUCAGGCUGUUGGUGAGGUAAUGGCCCACCAAACCUGUAACCGGUACGGGCUCUGAGAGGAGGAGCCCGGAGAUGGGUACUGAGAAAAGGACCCAGGCCCUAUGGGGCGCAGCAGGCGCGAAACCUCUGCAAUAGGCGAAAGCCUGACAGGGUUACUCUGAGUGACUUUCGCUAAGAAAGUCUUUUGACACCUCUAAAAAUGGUGUAGAAUAAGGGGUGGGCAAGUCUGGUGUCAGCCGCCGCGGUAAUACCAGCACCCCGAGUGGUCGGGACGAUUAUUGGGCCUAAAGCAUCCGUAGCCGGUUUUACAAGUCCUCCGUUAAAUCCAGCUGCUUAACAGAUGGGCUGCGGAGGAUACUAUAAGACUAGGAGGCAGGAGAGGCAAGCGGUACUCAGUGGGUAGGGGUAAAAUCCGUUGAUCCAUUGAAGACCACCAGUGGCGAAGGCGGCUUGCCAGAAUGCGCUCGACGGUGAGGGAUGAAAGCUGGGGGAGCAAACCGGAUUAGAUACCCGGGUAGUCCCAGCUGUAAACGAUGCAGACUCGGUGAUGGACUAGCUUUAUGCUAGUCCAGUGCCGCAGGGAAGCCGUUAAGUCUGCCGCCUGGGCAGUACGGUCGCAAGACUGAAACUUAAAGGAAUUGGCGGGGGAGCACCACAAGGGGUGAAGC
Molecule: ribosomal RNA, 863 nt
Filed under: uncultured crenarchaeote
Lineage: Archaea; Thermoproteati; Thermoproteota
Description: bacterial SSU rRNA
Rfam family: Archaeal small subunit ribosomal RNA
Source: RNAcentral